UACGAAGGGUGCAAACGUUGCUCGGAAUUACUGGGCGUAAAGCGCACGUAGGCGGCUUUGCAAGUCCCAUGUGAAAUCCCACGGCUCAACCGUGGAAGUGCAUGUGAAACUGCAGAGCUUGAGUACUUAAGAGGAUCGCGGAAUUCCCGGUGUAGAGGUGAAAUUCGUAGAUAUCGGGAGGAACACCAGUGGCGAAGGCGGCGAUCUGGGAAGAUACUGACGCUGAGGUGCGAAAGCGUGGGGAGCAAACAGG
RNAcentral lists this ribosomal RNA (253 nucleotides) under uncultured bacterium. RNAcentral describes it as "partial 16S ribosomal RNA". It matches the Rfam family "Bacterial small subunit ribosomal RNA", at positions 524 to 776 of the family's 1533-position model. The record is from RNAcentral.